This 2965-nucleotide small RNA is filed under the name Pan troglodytes (chimpanzee). Its description in RNAcentral is "processed transcript". Lineage: Eukaryota; Metazoa; Chordata; Mammalia; Primates; Hominidae. The record is from RNAcentral.
AAACAUGAGGCAGCUGCCAGCCGGCCUGGGCAGUCUUGUCUGCCUCGGCUGUGAAGUGGGGAGGCUGGCAACAGUUUUCUUCAGCGCCCAGGAUGCAGCCGGCUAAGCAGGCUCGUUUCAUCGACGAGGAAACUGAGGGCCGGGGAGCGGCAGAGUCAGGACCUUUCUGAACACCGGCACACCUGCCCUGAAUGCAUCUACAGCUGCAGGGCCUUGGGGACCACCGGAGAUGGUUGUGUGUGUCCCAGCCUCUUACAGGACAGGUGUCAGGAGCCCAAAGUGGAGGCAGCUGCCCUGGUCCAAGUCCACAGUGAGAGGACCCACUGCCCUGAGCUGGUGUGGAGACUGCAUGUAUAGCAGCGACAGUGAGCUGGAGCUGUCCACGGUGCGCCACCAGCCAGAGGGGCUGGACCAGCUGCAGGCCCAGACCAAGUUCACCAAGAAGGAGCUGCAGUCUCUCUACAGGGGCUUUAAGAAUGAGUGUCCCACGGGCCUGGUGGACGAAGACACCUUCAAACUCAUUUACGCGCAGUUCUUCCCUCAGGGAGAUGCCACCACCUAUGCACACUUCCUCUUCAACGCCUUUGAUGCGGACGGGAACGGGGCCAUCCACUUUGAGGACUUUGUGGUUGGCCUCUCCAUCCUGCUGCGGGGCACAGUCCACGAGAAGCUCAAGUGGGCCUUUAAUCUCUAUGACAUUAACAAGGAUGGCUACAUCACCAAAGAGGAGAUGCUGGCCAUCAUGAAGUCCAUCUAUGACAUGAUGGGCCGCCACACCUACCCCAUCCUGCGGGAGGACGCGCCGGCAGAGCACGUGGAGAGGUUCUUCGAGAAAAUGGACCGGAACCAGGAUGGGGUAGUGACCAUUGAAGAGUUCCUGGAGACCUGUCAGAAGGAUGAGAACAUCAUGAGCUCCAUGCAGCUGUUUGAGAAUGUCAUCUAGGACACGUCCAAAGGAGUGCAUGGCCACAGCCACCUCCACCCCCAAGAAACCUCCAUCCUGACAGGAGCAGCCUCCAAGAAACUUUUAAAAAAUAGAUUUGCAAAAAGUGAACAGAUUGCCACACACACACACACACACACACACACACACAGCCAUUCAUCUGGGCUGGCAGAGGGGACAGAGGUCAGGGAGGGGCUGAGUCUGGCUAGGGGCCGAGUCCAGGAGCCCCAGCCAGCCCUUCCCAGGCCAGCGAGGCGAGGCUGCCUCUCGGUGAGUGGCUGACAGAGCAGGUCUGCAGGCCACCAGCCGCUGGAUGUCACCAAGAAGGGGCUCGAGUGCCCCUGCAGGGGAGGGUCCAAUCUCCGGUGUGAGCCCACUUCAUCCCGUUCUCCAUUCUGCUUUCUUGCCAUACAGUGGGCCAGCCCCAGGCUCCCCUGGUCUCCUCCCCGUAGCCACUCUCUGCCCACUACCUAUGCUUCUAGAAAGCCCCUCACCUCAGGACCCCAGAGGGACCAGCUGGGGGGCAGGGGGGAGAGGGGGUAAUGGAGGCCAAGCCUGCAGCUUUCUGGAAAUUCUUCCCUGGGGGUCCCAGGAUCCCCUGCUACUCCACUGACCUGGAAGAGCUGGGUACCAGGCCACCCACUGUGGGGCAAGCCUGAGUGGUGAGGGGCCACUGGGCCCCAUUCUCCCUCCAUGGCAGGAAGGCGGGGGAUUUCAAGUUUAGGGAUUGGGUCGUGGUGGAGAAUCUGAGGGCACUCUCUGCCAGCUCCACAGGGUGGGAUGAGCCUCUCCUUGCCCCAGUCCUGGUUCAGUGGGAAUGCAGUGGGUGGGGCUGUACACACCCUCCAGCACAGACUGUUCCCUCCAAGGUCCUCUUAGGUCCCGGGAGGAACGUGGUUCAGAGACUGGCAGCCAGGGAGCCCGGGGCAGAGCUCAGAGGAGUCUGGGAAGGGGCGUGUCCCUCCUCUUCCUGCAGUGCCCCUCCCAUGGCCCAGCAGCUUGGCUGAGCCCCCUCUCCUGAAGCAGUGUCGCCGUCCCUCUGCCUUGCACAAAAAGCACAAGCAUUCCUUAGCAGCUCAGGCGCAGCCCUAGUGGGAGCCCAGCACAUUGCUUCUCAGAGGCCAGGCCCUCCUGCUGGCUGAGGCUUGGGCCCAGUAGCCGCAAUAUGGUGGCCCUGGGGAAGAGGCCUUGGGGGUCUGCUGUGUGCCUGGGAUCAGUGGGGCCCCAAAGCCCAGCCCGGCUGACCAACAUUCAAAAGCACAAACCCUGGGGACUCUGCUUGGCUGUCCCCUCCAUCUGGGGAUGGAGAACGCAAGCCCAAAGCUGGAGCCAAUGGUGAGGGCUGAGAGGGCUGUGGCUGGGUGGUCAGCAGAAACCCCCAGGAAGAGAGAGAUGCUGCUCCCGCCUGAUUGGGGCCUCACCCAGAAGGAACCCGGUCCCAGGCCGCAUGGCCCCUCCAGGAACAUUCCCACAUAAUACAUUCCAUCACAGCCAGCCCAGCUCCACUCAGGGCUGGCCCGGGGAGUCCCCGAGUGCCCCAAGAGGCUGGCCCCAGGGUGAGCAGGGCCCUCAGAGGAAAGGCGGUAUGGCGGAGGCCGUGGGGGCCCCUCGGCAUUCACACACAGCCUGGCCUCCCCUGCGGAGCUGCAUGGACGCCUGGCUCCAGGCUCCAGGCUGACUGGGGGCCUCUGCCUCCAGGAGGGCAUCAGCUUUCCCUGGCUCAGGGAUCUCCUCCCUGCCCUCACCCCCUGCCCAGCCCUCCCAGCUGGUGUCACUCUGCCUCCAAGGCCAAGGCCUCAGGAGAGCAUCACCACCACACCCCGGCCGGCCUUGGCCUUGGGGCCAGACUGGCUGCACAGCCCAACCAGGAGGGGUCUGCCUCCCACGCUGGGACACAGACCGGCCGCAUGUCCGCAUGGCAGAAGCGUCUCCCUUGGCCACGGCCUGGGAGGGUGGUUCCUGUUCUCAGCAUCCACUAAUAUUCAGUCCUGUAUAUUUUAAUAAAAUAAACUUGACAAAGGA